AACGAACGCUGGCGGCAUGCCUAACACAUGCAAGUCGAACGAGACCUUCGGGUCUAGUGGCGCACGGGUGCGUAACGCGUGGGAACCUGCCCUUAGGUUCGGAAUAACUCCCCGAAAGGGGUGCUAAUACCGGAUAAUGUCUUCGGACCAAAGAUUUAUCGCCUUUGGAUGGGCCCGCGUUGGAUUAGCUAGUUGGUAGGGUAAAAGCCUACCAAGGCGACGAUCCAUAGCUGGUCUGAGAGGAUGAUCAGCCACACUGGGACUGAGACACGGCCCAGACUCCUCCGGGAGCCAGCAGUGGGGAUUAUUGGACAUGGGCCGAAGGCCUGUCCCACCAUUGCCCCGUGGGUGAUGAAGGCCUUGGGUUGUAAAGCUCUUUUACCCGGGAUGAUAAUGACAGUACCGGGAGAAUAAGCUCCGGCUAACUCCGUG
This 432-nucleotide ribosomal RNA is filed under the name uncultured bacterium. Its description in RNAcentral is "partial 16S ribosomal RNA". It matches the Rfam family "Bacterial small subunit ribosomal RNA", at positions 29 to 507 of the family's 1533-position model. The record is from RNAcentral.